AUAAAACUCGGUUUUCGAACAUUUCGCUGCCCCAGGAGGGCAGUGGGCCCCUGUCCAAUUCAUCAGUGACCUAAUGAGCGGCCCCGGAGGUCCUGGCCCGCCCAUUCCAGAAGCUCUCUCUGCCUUGUAAAGCCGCCCACCUGGAGCCCAGAGGAGCAGGAACUCGGAGGGGAGCUUAUGCUCGUCGUGCCUGCAGUACCAGGGACGUGGACGCGCCGUCUUGGACCGUCUUACCACCCGCUUGGCCCUGAUGCCCACUCACGGGUGUCAUCCAGACAGUUGGCUGGGAUCUGGGGACUUCUUGUAACACCUGCUAGUGAUUUUGCCAACUUCCUGGAUGCUCAUUUCUGGUUCUGCACAAAAGAGCCACAUUUCCUUUUGGAAUCGGGACCGGGAGACAGACAGCAGCAGGCACUGGAAAUUGUGAGUACUCCCCAGUCUUCCUCCAGCGAUGCUCUGACCCUGUCCGUCCAUCUGUCCUGCCUCCCGUGUCUUUCUCUGCCAGU
Molecule: long non-coding RNA, 506 nt
Organism: Lontra canadensis (Northern American river otter)
Lineage: Eukaryota; Metazoa; Chordata; Mammalia; Carnivora; Mustelidae
Exons: 3
Source: RefSeq, a predicted model, not a curated record